RNAcentral lists this ribosomal RNA (441 nucleotides) under uncultured bacterium. RNAcentral's name for it is "bacterial SSU rRNA". It matches the Rfam family "Bacterial small subunit ribosomal RNA", at positions 340 to 773 of the family's 1533-position model. The record is from RNAcentral.
UACGGGAGGCAGCAGUGGGGAAUAUUGCACAAUGGGCGCAAGCCUGAUGCAGCCAUGCCGCGUGUAUGAAAAAGGCCUUCGGGUUGUAAAGUACUUUCAGUCGUGAGGAAGGUGUUAAGGUUAAUAACCUUAGCAAUUGACGUUAGCGACAGAAGAAGCACCGGCUAACUCCGUGCCAGCAGCCGCGGUAAUACGGAGGGUGCGAGCGUUAAUCGGAAUUACUGGGCGUAAAGGGCACGCAGGCGGUUAAUUAAGUUGGAUGUGAAAUCCCCGGGCUUAACCUGGGAAUGGCAUUCAAGACUGGUUAGCUAGAGUCUUGUAGAGGGGGUAGAAUUCCGAUGUGUAGCGGUGAAAUGCGUAGAGAUGUGGAGGAAUACCGGUGGCGAAGGCGGCCCCUGGACAAAGACUGACGCUCAUGGUGCGAAAGCGUGGGGAGCAAAC